RNAcentral lists this ribosomal RNA (447 nucleotides) under uncultured bacterium. Its description in RNAcentral is "bacterial SSU rRNA". It matches the Rfam family "Bacterial small subunit ribosomal RNA", at positions 330 to 793 of the family's 1533-position model. The record is from RNAcentral.
GCCAGACUCCUACGGGAGGCAGCAGUGGGGGAUAUUGCACAAUGGGGGGAACCCUGAUGCAGCGACGCCGCGUGGGUGAAGAAGUAUUUCGGUAUGUAAAGCCCUAUCGGCAGGGAAGAAAUUGGACGGUACCUGACUAAGAAGCCCUGGCUAACUACGUGCCAGCAGCCGCGGUAAUACGUAGGGGGCAAGCGUUAUCCGGAUUCACUGGGUGUAAAGGGAGCGUGGACGGCCAUGCAAGCCUGGAGUGAAAGCCCGGGGCCCAACCCCGGGACUGCUCUGGGAACUGUGCGGCUGGAGUGCGGGAGGGGCAGGCGGAAUUCCUGGUGUAGCGGUGAAAUGCGUAGAUAUCAGGAGGAACACCGGCGGCGAAGGCGGCCUGCUGGACCGCGACUGACGUUGAGGCUCGAAAGCGUGGGGAGCAAACAGGAUUAGAUACCCUCGUAA